CUCUAAGGGCAUUUGGUGGAUGCCUUGGCGUUGAGAGGCGAUGAAGGACGUGACACGCUGCGAUAAGCCAUGGGGAGCUGCGAGUAAGCUUUGAUCCGUGGAUUUCCGAAUGGGGAAACCCGGCCAUUUAGGUCAUCCCGCAAGGGAAGCGAACCUGGGGAACUGAAAUAUCUAAGUACCCGGAGGAAAGGACAUCAACCGAGACUCCGUUAGUAGUGACGAGCGAACGCGGACCAGGCCAGUGGCUUGAUAGAAGAUAACCAGAAGCGUCUGGAAAGGCGCGCCAUAGUGGGUGAUAGCCCCGUAUGGGUAAUGCUUUCUUCAAGUCCUUGAGUAGGGCGGGACACGUGAAAUCCUGUCUGAACAUGGGGGGACCACCCUCCAAGCCUAAGUACUCCUCAACGACCGAUAGCGAACCAGUACCGUGAGGGAAAGGUGAAAAGCACCCCGAUGAGGGGAGUGAAAUAGACCUGAAACCGAAUGCCUACAAUCAGUCGGAGCCACAUUAAGUGGUGACGGCGUACCUUUUGUAUAAUGGGUCAGCGAGUUAUUGUCAGUAGCAAGGUUAACCGUUUAGGGGAGCCGUAGGGAAACCGAGUCUUAAUAGGGCGAAUUAGUUGCUGGUAAUAGACCCGAAACCGGGCGAUCUAGCCAUGGCCAGGUUGAAGGUGCCGUAACAGGCACUGGAGGACCGAACCCACCUAUGUUGAAAAAUGGGGGGAUGAGCUGUGGCUCGGAGUGAAAGGCUAAUCAAGCUCGGAGAUAGCUGGUUCUCCUCGAAAACUAUUUAGGUAGUGCCUCAUGUCUCACCACUGGGGGUAGAGCACUGUUUCGGCUAGGGGGCCAUCCCGGCUUACCAAACCGAUGCAAACUCCGAAUACCGAGGAGUGCAAUCAUGGGAGACACACGGCGGGUGCUAACGUCCGUCGUGGAAAGGGAAACAACCCAGACCGCCAGCUAAGGUCCCAAAUCUACGUUAAGUGGGAAACGAUGUGGGAAGGCAUAGACAGCUAGGAGGUUGGCUUAGAAGCAGCCACCCUUUAAAGAAAGCGUAAUAGCUCA
Molecule: ribosomal RNA, 1062 nt
Filed under: Pteridomonas danica
Lineage: Eukaryota; Dictyochophyceae; Pedinellales
Description: partial Bacterial large subunit ribosomal RNA
Rfam family: Bacterial large subunit ribosomal RNA
Source: RNAcentral